CGUUAUGAAGGCAUGCUUAUUUAUGCAACAGCACAUUUUCGGUAUUUCGUUUAGGAACAAGUAUGGCAGCAGCGGCAAAAGGAGUCUUCUGGCGGGAUGAAGAGGUGGAGACCCUGCUGGACCUCGUUGCACGCUCCGGAAAAGCGGCGCGUGUAAUGAGGAGCACACAUCUGCCCACGAAGCUUAUAUUUCACAAGCUGUCGAGGCAGAUGUGUGCCCGUGGUCACAGCAGGACCCCCGAACAGUGCAGAUCGAAGUUCAAGAGGGUGAAGGGGGACUUCUACGGGGCGCUGGAAGCCUGGCAGGGGAUCCCUCGCCAGAGUGGAAAGCCCCCGUACUUUGCGUCCAUGAUGAACCUCUGGGAUCUCGCCGGAAGGCCAAGCUGGCAAUCCCGUCAUCAUGCUGGUAAGAACCUCUUAAAAGCAUUUAAUUUUAAAUUAACAACGCAGUUAAGUGCACGUCAAUGUGGAGAAACCAGGCAAAAAGUUAGAUGGUGGGGGGAGAGCUGAGAUUCCAUUCCCCCCCCCCCCGUAAUCGUCGCACAACGCCGUUUUAUUGCAAUAGCGGAUUUUUUUUCUCCUACAAAGAAACCUUUUUUUUUUAUGCUCGGCGUGAGGGACCCCAAGUUUGGGAAUGUGGCAUGUGUCGAGCCGCUGUGUUCAUCACGGUGCACAGUUGCUGGUGUUAUCUUUGUUGCACCUUUUUGUCAUGAAUGUUCCGAUUGCAAUGGUUUGAUGGAGUGUGCCAACAUUUCUUCUUCACUUUGCAGCCCUUCUCCGUGGUAGAGCUCCCACCGCUGCCGUGGGGGAGGCAAGAGCAGACGAGGAGCAGGAGGCGCUUGAGGUGGCUGGGGAGCAAGCUUCCUCUGAGGACCCUGCACAGGGAUCAGAACAGGCACCCCCUGCUAGUGCACAGGAAAGCCAACUGGAACGGUCGGAGGAGGGUCCCUCAACCAGCAGAAGGUCUGCUCCCCCAGGAAGAGCCCAACGCAGAGGGAUAGGAGAUCUGUUCACGGCCAUGGAGAGGAUGGAGGAGAGGCUAGGAUCAUCCAUCUCAAAUGUGCAAGAGAGGUUGAGCAGCGUGGAGGACCGACUAGCACGCCUAGGGCGGC
Molecule: long non-coding RNA, 1111 nt
Organism: Eublepharis macularius
Lineage: Eukaryota; Metazoa; Chordata; Lepidosauria; Squamata; Eublepharidae
Exons: 3
Source: RefSeq, a predicted model, not a curated record